This 486-nucleotide ribosomal RNA is filed under the name uncultured bacterium. RNAcentral's name for it is "partial 16S ribosomal RNA". It matches the Rfam family "Bacterial small subunit ribosomal RNA", at positions 30 to 507 of the family's 1533-position model. The record is from RNAcentral.
AUUGAACGCUGGCGGCAUGCCUUACACAUGCAAGUCGAACGGCAGCACGGGUGCUUGCCCCUGGUGGCGAGUGGCGAACGGGUGAGUAAUACAUCGGAACAUGUCCUGUAGUGGGGGAUAGCCCGGCGAAAGCCGGAUUAAUACCGCAUACGAUCUACGGAUGAAAGCGGGGGCCCUUCGGGCCUCGCGCUAUAGGGUUGGCCGAUAGCUGAUUAGCUAGUUGGUGGGGUAAAGGCCUACCAAGGCGACGAUCAGUAGCUGGUCUGAGAGGACGACCAGCCACACUGGGACUGAGACACGGCCCAGACUCCUACGGGAGGCAGCAGUGGGGAAUUUUGGACAAUGGGCGAAAGCCUGAUCCAGCAAUGCCGCGUGUGUGAAGAAGGCCUUCGGGUUGUAAAGCACUUUUGUCCGGAAAGAAAUCCUUGGCUCUAAUACAGUCGGGGGAUGACGGUACCGGAAGAAUAAGCACCGGCUAACUACGUG